Molecule: long non-coding RNA, 669 nt
Organism: Pseudopipra pipra
Lineage: Eukaryota; Metazoa; Chordata; Aves; Passeriformes; Pipridae
Exons: 2
Source: RefSeq, a predicted model, not a curated record
GCGGAGGGAUGGCUUCCGCUCCCCAUUGGCCGGGCACCGGGUAGCCCCGGGCCUCCAUUGGCGGGAGCGAGCGUCAAUCGCGGCGCGGGGGCGGGCGCGGCUCGCGACGGCGGUGCCGGCCGGCGAUUGGUCUGGGGGCGGGGCCGGGGGCCGAGGGGCGGGGCCGGGGGCGGCUGCGUCAUGACUCUGCCAGCUGAUCCGGGACGGAGCCGGCGCGGCGGGGGAGGCGGUGGCACCGGCACCGGGAACAGGGACCCGCCACGGCCCGGGCGGCACCGGUGGGACCGGACCCGCGGGUGAUUCCAUGCCCCCUUGCUCCUGGCUAACCAGCACCAGUUCUUCAGUGGCAAGCUUUAUGUCCUUCUCCAGUAGCUAAAGCUGCCAGUUGAAGAACUGUUGAAUGUAGCCACUCUCUUCUUGUCACUGGGACCUUGGAUGCCAGCCAGACCCGUGCCCUGAGUGACCAGGAUCAGCCAGUCUGAAGCGUCCUGUGGAUUUGAGGGCUGAGGAUGAGUCCAGCCGGGAUGAAGAAGUCUCUCCACAGCCUCCAGACAGAGUCUUGGCUGGGGGAUUGCCAGGCAGCCCUGUCAGCGGGGUCCCACGGCAGUGGGGUGUCACUGAGCUGAGAGGAGACCAAAAGAGGCAUUAAACUUUCUGUUUUGCUCAACA